Molecule: ribosomal RNA, 1436 nt
Filed under: uncultured organism
Description: 16S ribosomal RNA
Rfam family: Bacterial small subunit ribosomal RNA
Source: RNAcentral
CAGGCUUAACACAUGCAAGUCGAGGGGCAGCAUGGUCUUAGCUUGCUAAGGCCGAUGGCGACCGGCGCACGGGUGAGUAACGCGUAUCCAACCUGCCUUACACUCUUGGACAGCCUUCUGAAAGGGAGAUUAAUACAAGAUGUUAUCAUGAGUAAGCAUUUUCGCAUGAUUAAAGGUUUACCGGUGUAAGAUGGGGAUGCGUUCCAUUAGAUAGUAGGCGGGGUAACGGCCCACCUAGUCUUCGAUGGAUAGGGGUUCUGAGAGGAAGGUCCCCCACAUUGGAACUGAGACACGGUCCAAACUCCUACGGGAGGCAGCAGUGAGGAAUAUUGGUCAAUGGACGAGAGUCUGAACCAGCCAAGUAGCGUGAAGGAUGAAGGUUCUAUGGAUUGUAAACUUCUUUUAUACGGGAAUAAACGAAUCCACGUGUGGAUUUUUGCAUGUACCGUAUGAAUAAGGAUCGGCUAAUUCCGUGCCAGCAGCCGCGGUAAUACGGAGGAUCCGAGCGUUAUCCGGAUUUAUCGGGUUUAAAGGGAGCGUAGAUGGGUUGUUAAGUCAGUUGUGAAAGUUUGCGGCUCAACCGUAAAAUUGCAAUUGAUACUGGCAGUCUUGAGUACAGUUGAGGUAGGCGGAAUUCGUGGUGUAGCGGUGAAAUGCUUAGAUAUCACGAAGAACUCCGAUUGCGAAGGCAGCUUACUAACCUGUAACUGACAUUGAUGCUCGAAAGUGUGGGUAUCAAACAGGAUUAGAUACCCUGGUAGUCCACACGGUAAACGAUGAAUACUCGCUGUAGGCGAUAUACAGUCUGCGGCCAAGCGAAAGCAUUAAGUAUUCCACCUGGGGAGUACGCCGGCAACGGUGAAACUCAAAGGAAUUGACGGGGGCCCGCACAAGCGGAGGAACAUGUGGUUUAAUUCGAUGAUACGCGAGGAACCUUACCCGGGCUUAAAUUGCAACCGAAUAUGGCGGAAACGCUAUAGCUAGCAAUAGCGGUUGUGAAGGUGCUGCAUGGUUGUCGUCAGCUCGUGCCGUGAGGUGUCGGCUUAAGUGCCAUAACGAGCGCAACCCUUGCCGAUAGUUACUAACAGGUCAUGCUGAGGACUCUGUCGGGACUGCCAUCGUAAGAUGUGAGGAAGGUGGGGAUGACGUCAAAUCAGCACGGCCCUUACGUCCGGGGCUACACACGUGUUACAAUGGGGGGUACAGAGGGCUGCUACCACGCAAGUGGAUGCCAAUCCCAAAAACCUCUCUCAGUUCGGAUUGAAGUCUGCAACCCGACUUCAUGAAGCUGGAUUCGCUAGUAAUCGCGCAUCAGCCACGGCGCGGUGAAUACGUUCCCGGGCCUUGUACACACCGCCCGUCAAGCCAUGGGAGCCGGGGGUACCUGAAGUGCGUAACCGCAAGGAGCGCCCUAGGGUAAAACUGGUGACUGGGGC